This 483-nucleotide ribosomal RNA is filed under the name Bifidobacterium myosotis. RNAcentral describes it as "partial 23S ribosomal RNA". It matches the Rfam family "Bacterial large subunit ribosomal RNA", at positions 1428 to 1893 of the family's 2925-position model. Lineage: Bacteria; Bacillati; Actinomycetota; Actinomycetes; Bifidobacteriales; Bifidobacteriaceae. The record is from RNAcentral.
GGGUGGGUGUCGGGACCGUAGUCGUAGUAGGUCAGCGCAGGAGUGACACGGAAGGGUGGCCGGCUCCGGAGGUGGUUUUCCGGGGCCAAGCACGCGGCCCGUCCCCCAGGCAAAUCCGGGGGGCAUGUAGGGUGAGGUGCGAUGGGACGCGCGUUUUGCGUGGAUCCGGUGAUCCCGGCCGUCGAGAAAAGCUUCGGCGUGAGGGCGUCAGUCCGCCCGUACCCCAAACCGACACUGGUGGUCAGGUAGAGAAUACCAAGGCGAUCGAGCGAAUCCUGGUCAAGGAACUCGGCAAAUCACUCCCGUUCCUUCGGUUUAAGGGAGACCCCCGAUGGUGAACCAACCUGCUUGGGGAGCUGUUGGGGGUGGCACAGACCAGGGGGUAGCGACUGUUUACCAAAAACACAGGUGCAUGCGAAGACGCAAGUCGCUGUAUAUGCACUGACGCCUGCCCGGUGCCGGAAGGUUAAGAGGAUCCGUCAU